CAGUGUGGCUAAAAUAAAGCAGGCAGAGGAACGUGGAAGGACUAGACUGCCUGAGUCUUCUGACCUUCAUCUUUCCCCUGUGUUGGAUGCCUCCUGCCCUCAAACAUCAGACUCCAGGUUCUUCAGCUUUUGGACUCUUGGACCUACCCCCCGAGUGGUUUGCCAGGGGCUCUCAGGCCUUCGGCUACAGACUGAGGGCUGCAUUAUCAGCUUUCCUACUUUUGAGGUUUUGGGACUUUACUGGCUUUCUUGCUCCUCAACUUGCAGAUGGCCUGUUGUGGGACCUCACCUUGUGAUCAUGUACAUGAGGGAAAUACACACCCCUCCCAGGGAUGAUGGAAGGUUAAGGUCCUAACACCUCCUGCACAUCUGAGCAGCUGCACAUUGAACCAGAUAGUCCUGGAAUGUGGGAAAACAGAGGCAGACUCAAGAGUCUGGAACAUUAUUUUAGGAUCACACAAAAAAGAUACAUAAUUUUCAUAGAAUGAUACUGAAAGCAUCUCAAAAAUAAAAUCACGAGUAUCUGCAGGUAAUGCAUCAGCAUUUUUAUUAAGCCCUCUUAUUUGAAAGUCACUGCUUUGAACUGGAUUGGAUGACCCAGUGGCUUGUGUGGGAGUUGGGCUGGAGAAGGUUGAUAGUAGGCAAGCUGGUUUUCUCCUGCUGUGAUUUUGUUACCUCUGUGGAGUGCUUUUGAUUUUUCUUAUCAACUGCAGUGACUCAGAUGGGUUGACAAUCUCUCCAAACAAAAUGUGUACUUUUUCUACCCGUGAGUUUGGCCUGGUCCCAGAAAUUCACUCUAGACAUGUAGAACUAUAUGAUAAGAGAGUUGGAAAAGAGCUCAUCUAUCUAGUCCAAAACUGUAAUGAAUUCGUGGGUCAUGAAAUCUAUUUAAUGGGUCGUGGCCAACAUUUAGAAAAUAUAGAUUAGACCAGAAAAAUAUCAGAGUUUUGCAAUCUUUCAUUUCAGCUACAUGUGUGUAUCACAGUGUGAAAUGUUUCUUGCUACCAAACAUUUUUGCAAAAUACUAAUAGUUCUAUUCCCAUAUCUGACAAAUGAAAGUAAGGAGCCCAGAAAAGUACUGUUAAGUAUUCUAUUUAGAGACACCCAGGACAUAAAUUCAAAUGUCCAGACUUCUGGUUUAGUUCUUUUUCCAUUUUGGAGAUCUGGAAUGAUACAAUAGAAGGAAUAGUGAAGGACAUAAGUUCAAGUCUGGUGCUUAAAAACUGUAUAAAGUGCAAGUUGCUUACUCCAUACCCUUCAUUAUUCUCAUUUCUAAAAUAAGGUAAAUGAAACUGUCCAUUUCCUUACUAGAUUAUUGGAAGAACUACCAAAUACAGAUAAAGCAAAAAAA
Molecule: long non-coding RNA, 1351 nt
Filed under: Homo sapiens (human)
Lineage: Eukaryota; Metazoa; Chordata; Mammalia; Primates; Hominidae
Description: lncRNA in non-homologous end joining pathway 1
Source: RNAcentral